Molecule: non-coding RNA, 2522 nt
Organism: Doryrhamphus excisus (bluestripe pipefish)
Lineage: Eukaryota; Metazoa; Chordata; Actinopteri; Syngnathiformes; Syngnathidae
Source: RefSeq, a predicted model, not a curated record
GGCUGAUAGAGUUUCGAAUUGUCGCCAAUGGCAAAGGGCGAAACUUACAAAGAGCUGCUGUUGCAGGAAGUUCAAAUCAAACUUUGCGGCGUGUAAGAACAUCUCAGCCAGUCCUUGUAAACCCUUCCGAUCGCAAUGGAUCCCUCUCCAGUUCUUCGUGUACAAAGUCAGAAUAACAUUGGCACUGGCUUUCUGAGGAUAAACAAUGAAAAUAAGAAAAUGGCAGUCGACCCGAAGAAUUCCAACCUUGUGCCAGUACAGCACCUUCCUCACAAGGAUUCUGAGAACCAAGAUCCAAGAAGCUCAAAAAGGAGCAGGCUUCCUGUGCUUGUCAGAACCCUCCGACCUGCAGCAUCCGACUUCAGGCAGUGGGAGGACAAAGCCUUGACUGGGAAAGCCAAGAAGAAAAAGUCACGGACCAGACCCAUACCCUUCAUCACGGCCAAGCACAACACAGAUGUUGUGGCAAUGCAGCCAACGACUGUUGUACAGUCAGCAAGCGGCGCUGGCGGCAUCCAGCUUGGAAACAGUGUCCGUGUAAAACCCCCAAACAUAACUGCCAAACACUCUAAAUGUUCAGCUGAGUUAAAAAGCACAGUAGACUCCAACAAGGGGGAGCUUGGGCGUCAUGGAUUGGCUGAGGUUCCAUUAGGACAGCGUAGCCAUUCUGGCACAACAAAUGUCACACAUCACAGCAGUACCUCUUUGGGUGUACCUUCUUCCGUCAGUGUGGAUGUCUGUUCGGAUAGUAUGACCGCUCUCAGUCUCAAAGGUCCAACCAAGAUAUGCCAUUGGAGCCACUGCAUGCAGGACUGUGGCAAAACGGAGAAAUUCCGGUCCAAUCACACUGCUUUGCUAAGUAUCCUGCAUAAAGGGAGCAUGCACGUGCAGCCGUCUCCAGCUCCACAGUCUAAACCUUCCCUAAACCUUCCCCAGCGAGUGUCUGUUGCAAAGACUCAUCAAACGGCUCCACCCACCACAGUGAAGUCAGUGGCCUUCUCUCCUGACCCCUGUGCCCUGAGAAGCAUCCUACAGAAUGAGGGCGUGAAGGCUGCAGGGCCCAUGGGUGCCACCCCUCUACACUCAUCUGGCAGACACACUUCUAUCUACACAGCACAGAGAGUUCCAGUUCGAAAAAAUCUGACAGAGACUCGUAAGGGAGCAGUAACGGAGGAUGAGAACCUAUGGACACCACAGAGAAUCUGCAACACUGAACAGCCUAUAUCUGCCAAGGCACGAAUAGUUCCAGUUAGCAAACAUCUGGCAGAGACGGCUCAGGGAACACUCGCAGAAGCGGACAAACUAUGGACACCACAGAGAGUUCCCAACACCAGACAUCAACCUCUAUCUUCCAAGAUAUUUCACACAAAUAGAACUCCCAGGCUGAGGCGCUGUGAAACCAACCAACCCCACCAGAAGGAUGUUGUCCAAAGAUUAUUUGUAGACCACGAGGAUGGGCAAAGCGCUGACAAAGAGCAUCUCCCAGUUGAAGCCUGGCCUAUUCAAACCCACUGUGAAAAAGUGGAGAGCAUCACCACGUGUAGUGAGGAGAAGCAGCUGAGAGAAACUAAGCCUUUUAUACCAACACUGCAAAGAGAGUCUGUUAUUUUUUUUUCUACUGGUAAAAAAAUAAUCCAAACCGCACGUUUUGAGAAGCAUCAGGAGCGACAUGGUUGGGCUCCACCAGAACUGGGAGAAAAGCCCAUGAAUCAGAUGAGCCCAGUCAAGCUCAUAAUGCAGAGAGACAACGAGACCUGUGGCACAAAGACUGCAGUUGCACUGCUGCGCAAGUGUCUUCCUCCCGUGGAGGAGCUACGAUUGGACGACGAGGUUUCUUUCUACAUCUCUCCUUCCGCCUCGGGUGAUGCUGCGUUCCCCCACCUUCGACCCGACUGCCGAAACCCAGUGGCGUUUCUUUUGCACUUUGAAGAAUCUAUUGUCAUGUGACAGUUGUUCUGAAGCUACCAUGGUGCUACUCUACAGAGAAGAUGCAACUUUCCAUUGGCCACCUUAAAUACCCUUUCUAUGAUUGGCUUCACUUGUGUAUGCAGAGAUUUGUUCCACUGGGCUGCGAUGCCUCCCCAUGCUUGUCACCUGGAUACAAGUGAAGGUUGCCAGCCAACAGUCUUUAUUUUUUUUAAUACGGUACUGCCCCCAGAAGCCCAAACCUCUGACUUUGUUGUCAUUCGUCUUUCAUUUUAGUCAUUUUGGAUAAAGGAGUAGUAUAGUACAGUACAUUUACAUAACAUGUAUGUAAAUAUGUAAGAUUGUGUAUUAAAGUGUAGAACCUACUGUAAAUAAAGACAUGACAGAAUUCUAGUAUUUGCAGCUUUGAACCCCCCCCCCCCCGCCCAGUACCACCAAUGGGGUGUUUGUACAGGUCAUCUCAGUGUGGAGUUUGUUUUUUUUAAAGAUUGUUACAUGUACAUUGGUCACCUGAUCCAAGUCUGAGGUCUGGUUCCUGGACGACCAGUCUACCUCCUGAUCCUGUGUGGAUGUUGAUUUUUCACUCUGAUAUGAAA